UUAGAUAAGGGAUGACCGACGUAUAAUCAUGGGAACAACGUACUUAAUGUUACACAUGGUCAAGGAAUAAAUUUUGAUCGAUAGGCACCAGACUUUUUCCAGUACAUUUUUUGCAUCCAGGCGUGUUCGGCCGGUGUGAAAUCGAAUCGUAUUCCGUAGCCGUUGUCAUGCAGUACGGCCGUCGCUGACGUGCGUCGUAAACCGUUGCGGCCAUGACGACGCGUUGGUGGUGGCGAUGAUCAGCAGCGGUGCGACCGCGGUAACGAUGUCGGUAACGAGAACGCCGCCACGGCCGGUGACCACUGCGGCCGCGGCGUCGGUGAUGGCCGCGACCGCGUGUUAGUGGCCGACACCACGUGUCCGUCUCUUAUGUCGGUGUUUGGGUCGACGGCAAAAGCGACGAGAACAGCGAC
This 413-nucleotide long non-coding RNA is filed under the name Sipha flava (yellow sugarcane aphid). Its description in RNAcentral is "uncharacterized LOC112690838, transcript variant X2". Lineage: Eukaryota; Metazoa; Arthropoda; Insecta; Hemiptera; Aphididae. The record is from RNAcentral.